UCAAACCAUUAUCUUGGCAAUUUCCACGUACGCGAGGGCGGCCAAAAAAACAAAACAAAAAAAAAACCGAUAGUAUCGAUGGUUAGGAGCCAGCUUCUACAAUCGAUGGCCAACAUCCAAUUUUCAUGUGUUCUCGUAGCACAGCGAUGUAGCGUACACACCUAGACGGUGUAAGAUACAAUUAUUGGUGGUAUGUAAGGUUAUAGGUGUAAGCGACAUAUCAUGAAUAACAAAUAUUAUGUUAGUAGUAUGUAAGAUGGUAGUUGUAAGCGACGUAUUAUGAAUAAUAAAUAUUACGUUUAGACCGAAUAUUAAGUCAUAGCUAAGUUCCAAGCCCGAGCGGCAACGCUAGCCGAUAUUUAGCAAAUUAAUAGAAAAUACUAGAAAGUAAGGAAUAUACCAGAAUUCCCGAAUGCGAGAAAAAGGGAGCGCGGGGAAGGUAGUCGCACAACGAUCAAGUUGCCGGUCUCUUGUGUCGGAAUGUUAAGACGAGACAGACGUGUCUCCCGCAGUAAUUUUUCGUGUAAUCCGAAGUAACACACCACGGUCGCGCGACAGCACGCUGAAAGUGAAUAAGUGGGCUGAUCAGUGAUCCGAGUGCAUGCGACUUGCGCGUGGACAUCAUUCCCGACCGGUCGAUAGUAUCACCAUCCUUGUCCUUUCAAUCUGCCUCCGCCCGACAAAUUCAACCCGGCUUGGCCUCGCCCGAAGGUCCAGCCCGGUGGAUUCUUGGCCUCCGACGCGCGGAAAAUGGCUCGUACGCCCCAAUCACAGAAGUGAUCAGUGACAUCACCGUUUCCACUUUUGCGAAAUAGUUUUCCGGCUUGGCCUCGCCCGAAGGUCCAGCUCGGUGGAUUUUUGGCCUCCGAUACGCGGAAAACGACUUGAGCGCCCAAAUCGCGGAAGUGACCAGUGAUAUCACCCAGCGUUCCCACUCUCGUGAAAUCGUUUGCCCGGCUUGGCCUCGUCCGAAGGUCCAGGCCGGUGGAUUUUUGGUCUCCGACACGCGGAAAACGACUUGUGCGCCCUAAUCACGGACAUCGACUCAGUGUGAUCGAAUGCUUUUAAAAGCAUGCAAAAUAAUUUCGGAGUGCAGAACAGCUCUAAAGUCAAAAGCUGUUACUGGAAUGAGGAUGAUGGGUGUGCUCUGUGGAAAUCGGAGUUUCACAUUUGUCAAAAAUCCCAACCGUUUCCAAUGGAUGGACUGUGUGGAAAUAGGGGAUACAACCCAAUAGGUGUACAAUAGUAUGACAUUUAAGAAAUACUGUGUUUUGCUUUCAUGAAUAAAUAUAUAACAAGACAGCCA
Long non-coding RNA from Drosophila gunungcola (fruit fly), 1306 nucleotides. RefSeq lists it as uncharacterized. The transcript is spliced from 4 exons. NCBI's taxonomy places the organism in Eukaryota, Metazoa, Arthropoda, Insecta, Diptera, Drosophilidae. The record is from RefSeq and is a predicted model, not a curated record.